GACGAACGCUGGCGGCGUGCUUAACACAUGCAAGUCGAACGGAAAGGCCCUGCUUUUGUGGGGUGCUCGAGUGGCGAACGGGUGAGUAACACGUGAGUAACCUGCCCUUAACUUUGGGAUAACUUCAGGAAACUGGGGCUAAUACCGGAUAGGAGCUCCUGCUGCAUGGUGGGGGUUGGAAAGUUUCGGCGGUUGGGGAUGGACUCGCGGCUUAUCAGCUUGUUGGUGGGGUAGUGGCUUACCAAGGCUUUGACGGGUAGCCGGCCUGAGAGGGUGACCGGCCACAUUGGGACUGAGAUACGGCCCAGACUCCUACGGGAGGCAGCGGUGGGGAAUAUUGCACAAUGGGCGGAAGCCUGAUGCAGCAACGCCGCGUGCGGGAUGACGGCCUUCGGGUUGUAAACCGCUUUCGCCUGUGACGAAGCGUGAGUGACGGUAAUGGGUAAAGAAGCACCGGCUAACUACGUG
RNAcentral lists this ribosomal RNA (468 nucleotides) under uncultured bacterium. Its description in RNAcentral is "partial 16S ribosomal RNA". It matches the Rfam family "Bacterial small subunit ribosomal RNA", at positions 28 to 507 of the family's 1533-position model. The record is from RNAcentral.